UCGAGGAUCUUUUGCAAUGCCCGCAAGGGUGACAAUGCGACGCCGCGUGAGCGAAGAAGGCCUUCGGGUUGUAAAGCUCUGUCAGCUGGGACGAAUGCAGGAGAGGUAAUACCUUUUCCUGAGUGACGGUACCAGCAGAGGAAGCCACGGCUAACUCCGUGCCAGCAGCCGCGGUAAUACGGAGGUGGCAAGCGUUGUUCGGAUUUACUGGGUGUAAAGGUCAUGUAGGCGUUCUUUUAAGUCGGGUGUGAAAUCCCAUGGCUCAACCAUGGAAUUGCACUCGAUACUGGGAGGAUUGAGUACGGGAGAGGUAAGCGGAAUUCCGGAAGUAAGGGUGAAAUCUGUAGAUAUCCGGAAGAACACCAUUAGCGAAGGCGGCUUACUGGUCCGAUACUGACGCUGAAAUGAGAAAGCUAGGGGAGCAAACAGG
RNAcentral lists this ribosomal RNA (430 nucleotides) under uncultured bacterium. Its description in RNAcentral is "bacterial SSU rRNA". It matches the Rfam family "Bacterial small subunit ribosomal RNA", at positions 355 to 776 of the family's 1533-position model. The record is from RNAcentral.